ACCACUGAAAGAUCAGUUUAAAACCUAUUACUCGCUUUGCACAGCAAAAGCAAGAAGAGAGAAAGAAGAAGAAGAGAAGAAGGAGAAGAAGGAAGGAGAAGGAAGAAAGAGAGGAAAGAGAAAUAAGAGGAGCGAUCUUACCUAAGAAAUACAUUGAAUUGAUUGUACUCAUAGAUGGUCGAACCGAUGCUGAGGCAAGAUUGGACUUUGGCAGCAGUUGUGAAGCUUGUGUUUGCGACACCAGGAGGCUGAUGGACAUCACUUCAAUUAUUUUAGUAAUUACUUUUGAUGUAAAUAUUGAUGAAAUAUAUAAGAUGUAAAUAUUGAUGAAAUAUAUAAGAUGUAAAUAUUGAUGAAAUAUAUAAGAUGUAAAUAUUACACCUGUGGAUUGUCAACAGCUGAAUCUUGUAUAUUUGUAAUUUAUCACUCUAGUACAUCGACAAUGUUAUUUA
Long non-coding RNA from Macadamia integrifolia, 452 nucleotides. RefSeq lists it as uncharacterized. Lineage: Eukaryota; Viridiplantae; Streptophyta; Magnoliopsida; Proteales; Proteaceae. The record is from RefSeq and is a predicted model, not a curated record. The transcript is spliced from 2 exons.